AACCAAAAACCCUCUCUUUCGUCAUUCCACCGAACCUCAACCAAUGGCCGCCGCAGCUCCGGCUCCGGCCCCAACUCCGGCUCCGGAGCCCGUCACAUCAUUACCGGAAACCACCCCUCUCUUCACGCGCAUCCGUCUGGCCACCCCCUCCGACGUUCCCCACAUCCACAAACUGAUCCACCAGAUGGCCGUCUUCGAACGCCUGACCCACCUCUUCUCCGCCACGGAGUCCUCCCUGGCGGCCACCCUUUUCUCCCCAACCGCCCAGCCCUUCCACUCCUUCACCAUCUUUCUUCUAGAAGCUUCCCCCAACCCCUUCGCUGCUUCAACCUUGGACUCCAACCCCUUCUUCAAACCCCUGACCAAGUUCGUGAAUCUGAGGGUCCCCAUUGAGGACCCCGAGCGAGAGACGUUCAAGAGCAUGGAUGAUGUUACGGUUGUGGGGUUUGUGUUGUUUUUCCCGAACUAUUCUAGCUUUCUGGCGAAGCCGGGGUUUUACGUGGAGGACUUGUUCGUGAGGGAGUGUUACAGGAGAAAGGGGUUUGGGAGAAUGCUGCUGUCGGCGGUGGCGAAACAGGCGGUGAAGAUGGGGUACGGGAGGGUGGAGUGGGUGGUGCUGGAUUGGAAUGUGAAUGCGAUUAGGUUUUAUGAAGAGAUGGGUGCUGAUAUCUUGAACGAGUGGAGGAUUUGCAGGUUAACUGGGGAGGCUCUUCAGACUUAUGGAGGUGCUGAUUAGAAUGCUUUUUCUCUCUUUCUUUCUCUUCUGUGAUAAUAAUAAUAAUCAAAAUCUGGGUUUCUAGUGAGUCUGUUAGGGAAGGUUUGAAUGGGUUAUGAACGAGUGUUAUCUUUUUUUUGGCUCAGAGUAUGAAUCGUGAUGGUGUUAUGUCAAGUAAUUAUGUUAUGAUAAUGUUUUAGAAGCUGGUGAUUUUGUUCUUCAUGUCUCUGGUUACUGCUUUAAGUGAUGUCACUCGCUAACCGCAUCAGUAUACAUUAAAUAUCUCAAUAAAUAACAAAUCCUAUACAAAUAAUGAUCAUAUCCCUGGAAAUAUGAGAUAUAUUGGAGAAAUUAGUUAUCACUUAUUCAGGGAAGAUAGAUUUAUUAAAGGUAUUCUCUAGCAGAGACCCUCGUACUAACAAUUUAGUUAAUACUCAUGUAGCACAGACCUCAUACUAACACCUACUCAAAUAUACAUAAUCUCUAAAAUGUAACCUCAAUCUCUACUAUGCAUAAUAAAAGUUUUGAGUUUUUUAAAAAAUAAUGUAUUUCUUUUCUCUUACUUAAAAUAUUUCUUUUCUCUUACUUAAAAUGUUAAAGAUCAAUUUUAGAAUUGUCAAAAAUUUAAUAAAUACUUUUUUUAUUGACAUUUCAUUAAUACGUGUUAUACGAGUGUCAUAAUCUGAUACGUUAUCUAAACACUAUAAAUAAAAUUCUCUAACUAAAGGAUCAACUUUCACUAUACACUAUUAAUACAAACUAUCAACUUUCACUAUACACUCUUAAUACAAAUUACUUAUUUGAUAAAUACAAACUAUCAACUUUCACUAUACACUCUUAAUACAAACUACUUAUAUGAUUAUUUGAUCAUGUAGUACUUUUUUUUUUUUUACCUUUUUUAGGUUCACCAUAAUUUUAGAUACCAUUAGAACCAUUUAUAUUUUUCCUUCGGAUUAAGAUUUGCCUCUAAAAAUAUGAGAAACCAAAGUUAAAACAUUGAAAGAAUGUUUUGGAGGAAUGAAGAAAUUAUGAGUGUAUAAUGAUGAUUUGAAGGGACCUUGGUGUGGUGGGUGAAAGAUAAAAUCAAGUUGUUUUGUGUUGGAUGUGAAAUGAUACUUAUUUGGUAGUGUGUGAGGAUGUUUCAAUUGUUGGUGAUUGAGUUUUUCCCAAAGCAGAUUGCAUCUUUUGGAUGAUAAGUUUGUGCCAAUUUCAGUAUAAAAGAAAGAAAGCUUUUAUCAAAGAUUGUGCCUUUUGGAUAAGAGAGGAAAAAUCAGGUUAAAUGGUGAUUACGCUUUCACUUUGUACUCAUUUUUUUAAGGAUUAACUUGACAUUUUAAAGGUUAAAUUGUCAAUUGAUUGUAUAGUAAAGUUUGGAGAUCAAAUUGUUACUGUUAUUAUUUUACAUGCUUUCAAAAUUGAAUCAUAACUAUUUAUUUUUUUCUUUAGAGUUUAAUUAAAAUAAGCGGUAUAAUUUGUUCGAUCUGGUUUAUCUUGAUCAUCAUUGUUCAAUUAUUUUUAUUCUCCCACUCUGCCAAAUAAUUUUGAACCAAAUAUAAUAAUCAAAAUGUAAAUGAAUGUAAUAAUUAUUUUAAAAAAAGAAAGAUUUUUUUUAAAAAAUAAAAAAUAGAAAAUUUUAAAUGUAAUUUAAAUAUAUUGGUGAACAAUAAAAAUGAUUUAAAUAAAAUGGAUAUUAAUUUGCUUUGUUAAAGUAAAUAAAGAAUACAAACUUUAAUUGUUACAUAUUUUAAUGAUUAUGUAUAGGAAAAAAUUAUCUUUUAAAAUUGUAUAUAUUUAAUCAAAUAUGGUAAAUGAAGAUUAAGAUUUCAUAAUUAAAAUUAUUUUUUUCAUAUACUCUAUAAUAUAUGGUUGGUAAAUUAAAAAUUAAAUAUAUUAUAUCAACUCAUUCUGUAAUUUUGAUCAACUUCAAAUUUUAGUUUUAGAAUUAUUUUUUAUCCACUUUAACAUUUCUAAUUUUUACAUUAUACACAAUAAAUUAAAAUUAAAAUUCAAUAUAUUUUUUAAUUAAAUGAUUAUUUUAGGUAAGUUCAUCGAUCCAUUAUAAUUCAAAACAGGUAAGUCAGGUCAUAGUUAGGUGAAUUAUUCUUUAAUUGUUAUUAACUUCAAAUUUUCAUUUUAGUUAUUCUUUUUGUUUAUCAACUUCAAAAUUUCUAAAUUUUCACUAUGCACAGUGAAUUAAAAAAUAAAAUUUUAAUUAAAUAUUAAAUUUAUAAUUAGGUGAAUUUAUUUUAAUGUAUUAGUUAUUAUGAUUCAAUCUAAGUGACUCAAAAUGAUUUUUGGAUCACUUUACCUUUUCUUUAUAUCUAAUAAUAUAUAAGGUACUUUCUUGCUAACAAACUCUUAAUUAAUGGCUAAUACAAGUUAAAUAUAAAAUGUAUAAAAUGUAUAUCAUCAUAAAAAAAUUAUUGUUUUAUAUACGAAUUAUUACAUACAUAUUUAUAUUCAGAUGUAAAUUGAGCGUUAUAUAAAAAUAUUUAUAUACGAAUUUAAUUUAAAUUACAUAUAAUUUUUUCUGCUCGUAAACUAAAACUACACUACAAGAAAAUCAUCAAAUAGAAACCAAUUUUUAGAAAUCAAAAUAAUUAGUUGCAAUAUUAACUAAAUUAUAAAUUAUUUUAGAAACUAAAACAAAAAUUGGUUUCUAAAUUAGUUUCUAUUAUUUUAUAUUAUUAUUAAAUAGUUUCUAAAAUGGUAUCUAAUUAGCAAUCAAGGUUUUAUCUACCAAUUAUUUAGUUUCUAAAUUUAGUCUCUAAAACCUUGGUUGCUAAUUAGAGAUCAAUUUAGAAACUAUUUAACAAUAAUAGAAACUAAUUUAGAAACCAAUUUUUGUUUUAGUUUCCAAAAUGGUCUCUAAUUUAGUUACUAUUGCAACUAAUUAUUUUGGUCUCUAAAAAUUGGUUUCUAUUUCAUGAUUUUCUUGUAGUGCUAUUUACAUUCGAACAUAAUCAUUAUGUAAUUUUGGUACCAUGAAUAAGGAAUAAUGACAUAAUGAUCAUAUCCAUAUAUAUAAUAUUACAUUUUUAAUUAAAAAAAUCGAUAAUUGUUACAUACGGAUUUUAUCCAUAUAUAAUGUAUUACAUAUUUAAUUAAAAAAAGAUAAAUAGUUACAAACAAAUUUUAUCCAUAUAUAAGAUUUUACAUAUUUAAUUAAAAAAUUGAAAUAUUUACGUAUGAAUUAUAUUCAUAUAUAAUUUGUUAGAUACGAAUUUUAAAAAAUCAGAAAUUGUUACAUACAAAUUCUAUUUGUAUAUAAAAUAUUACAUAUUUAAUUAAAAAAACUAAAAUAUUUACAUAAAAGUUAUAUCCGUAUGUAAAGUUUUACAUACAAAAUUAAAAAAAAUAAAGUGUUUUAUGAAAGUAUGUUAUGUUUUGUUAAAUAUUGAUGAAUAUUUGUCUUUGAAUGAAUUAUAUUGAAAAAUGGAAUGUCUUUCGAUAUAUGCAUACAUGGAAUUGAUUUCCAGUCAUAGUUACGUACAGAAAUUUAUCCGUAUAUAAACAUGCACAUAGUUACAUAUGAAUAAAUGCAUAUAUAAACUUUCACACAGUUACAUAUGGAUAUAUUUAUAUGUAAACCUGCACACAGUUACAUGCAAAAAUAUUCGUAUGUAAUUACAUACAUAUCCUAAAUCUGUAUAUAAUUACAUACAAAUCCUAAAUUCGUACGUAACAGUUACUACUAUAAUUUUACAUAUGAAUUCUUGUUCUUAUAUAAUACAUACAUAAUUAUGUUUUAUAUACAAAUUUAUGUGGUAUAUAAUACCAACUUUUCUUGUGGUGUUACUAAUUAUAUUAAUUUAUUUAUAAUGAAAAUCAUAAUUAAAAAAUUAAUUUAAAAUGAAGUGUGUCAGUGUGGUAACAUUUAGAACAUUGGAUAAUGAAUGAGAGAAAUUUUUAAGAAUUUUAAAAUUAAUUAACUACUCACUUUUUUUAUCACCAGUUAUUAAGCGACCAAAAAUAGAUAUAAAAUUUUGUUAAUUAAAUAUUAAUCAAUUAAAUGUUUGACAUAAAUUUGUGAUUUGUUAUGAAUUUGAUUUUUUUUAUAUUUUAAAACAAAAAUGACAUCAAUUAUUUGAUGGUAUAACAUUAAAAAUACUCUGAGUAUAUUAUAGUUUGUAUCAAUUUAUGUUUUCUUACUAAUUUUAAAUUCCUGCCGAUUUAAUUCACGUCAAUCACACUUAUAGUUGUAAUUUUCAUCGUCUUUUCGUUUUUGCAUAACAAUGUGAUUGGUUUGAAUAAAUAAAAGUAGGUGUUUUAAACAAAACAAAAUAAUAUAUAUACACAUAUAUAGAAAUAUAGUGAAUUUUCUUAUAGUGACAUGGUUAAAAAAUUAAAUUCAAAUUCCAAUAAUCAUAAAAAACGGUUUACUUUAUAAUAAAAAAAGACAUAUUUAAUUUGGUACAGUGUAUUAAUAUUCAAAAUUCAAAUAAAAAAUAAUAAAUGUAAGUAAUUGUAUUUCAACGAAAUAAGAAAUUGAAAGUUAAAAAUUAAAAUAAAUUUAAUAUUUAAUAUAGGAUAUAUAACACAACAAUUUCUAAAAUUAUUAUAGUUUAAGAGAAAUUAUUAAUAAAAUUUUCAAGCUCAAAUCUUGUGAUAAGUGAGAUAUGAAAGUAGAAAUUACUUUUACCUUUUGAUUCAUUUUAUCUAUAUGAAUAUUGUUUUUUUGUUAUUUUAAUGUUAAGUGUAGACGUGAAUAUGGAAAUAGACUUAGAAGUAAUAGAAACUAAUUUUCUUCUUGGUAAGUUACUAAUGUUUUAUUGUUUUAAAUUUAUUUAUAUUUUAAUAUUUCAUUUUUUUUAUUUCUAAUGCUACGAAAUAUGAAUGAAAGCAAGAAAAUACUCUUAUUGAAACAAAAAAUAUUGACUAAUGAAGAAUGUUCAAUCAUUUAUUAUAUUCCAUUACAAAAGAGUGUUGAUGGAAAAUGAUUAAAAAAUUAUUUAUAUUCGAAUGCUUAGAAUAUAACUUCCAAAGUACGAUGAGAAGUAAGGAUCAUAAAGGAAAGUUAAUUGUCAUAAAGCUAAUUGUCCACAUGCUUAUUUAAAAUAAAUAAUUAUUCAAAUUUUGAAUUUGGGACUUAUGGACCUAUCAAUAUUGGAUUUUCUAGGAAAAUAAUUGGAAAAAUUCAAAAACUAAUGAGUCAUAAGUUACUUUUAUGAAACGACAUGACACCACUUUCAAAAAAAAAACUUUAAGAUUGUAUGUUUGUGAGCUUUUUUUUUCUAAUAUAUUACUAUUUUUAGUUAACAUUGAACUUUCAACUUAUACUUGAAUUCCUAUUAGAUUUUUUUCCUAAAAUGAAAGUUGGUUUAAUCAUGGGCAAUUUUUAGACCAUACAUUAAGAGACAUGAAUAAUGAGUAAACCAUAAAAAAUGAUAAAAAAUAUGAUGACAUCAUCUUCAAAUCAAAAUCUUAAACUCGAAACUUAAGGUUGUAUGAUUUUUCUUAUAAAAACCAUAAUAGUUUGUCUCUCUUCAUCCAUUUAUAAAAAAAAACCGCUAACUAGAACUCACGAAAACCAAAAACACUCUUUCAUCACCGGACCUCAACCAAUGGCCGCCGCAGCGCCGCCUCCGACUCCGGAGCCCGCCACAUCAUUACCGGAAACCACCCCUAUCUUCACGCGCAUCCGUCUGGCCACCCCCUCCGACGUUCCCCACAUCCACAAACUGAUCCACCAGAUGGCCGUCUUCGAACGCCUGACCCACCUCUUCUCCGCCACGGAGUCCUCCCUGGCGGCCACCCUUUUCUCCCCAACCACCCAGCCAUUCCACUCCUUCACCAUCUUCCUUCUAGAAGCUUCUCCCAACCCCUUCGCUGUUUCAACCUUGGACUCCAACCCCUUCUUCACACC
RNAcentral lists this long non-coding RNA (6581 nucleotides) under Phaseolus vulgaris (common bean). Its description in RNAcentral is "long non-coding RNA (PVUL_LNC002416)". Lineage: Eukaryota; Viridiplantae; Streptophyta; Magnoliopsida; Fabales; Fabaceae. The record is from RNAcentral.